GGGCAGCCCAGCGGGUGAGAA
RNAcentral lists this microRNA (21 nucleotides) under Monodelphis domestica (gray short-tailed opossum). RNAcentral's name for it is "mdo-miR-7320-3p". The record is from miRBase by way of RNAcentral. Lineage: Eukaryota; Metazoa; Chordata; Mammalia; Didelphimorphia; Didelphidae.